UGGGACUGAGCACCUGAACCUACAUUAUAACACAAUGUAGCAUAUAGCCAUAUAUGUGUAUCAGUACUUUGAAAUGUACUGAAUAUGCGGAGGUGAAUGCAUAUGUAUAAAAAUAGUACCGAUCUUCUUCAAUAAAAUCAUGUAUGCAAAUGAGAUGGCUCACAUAGCUUGAACUAGUAUAAAAUAUAAAACUCAUAAAUCAUGUAGAAUGAAGCAUGCAACACAA
RNAcentral lists this long non-coding RNA (226 nucleotides) under Capsicum annuum. RNAcentral's name for it is "long non-coding RNA (CANN_LNC015834)". The record is from RNAcentral. Lineage: Eukaryota; Viridiplantae; Streptophyta; Magnoliopsida; Solanales; Solanaceae.